CGGGUGCACUGAUCCGGCCGGGCCUUUCCCUCUGUGGAACCCCAUGGCCUUCACUGGCUGUGCGGGGGAAACAGGACUUUUACUGUGAAAAAAUUAGAGUGCUCCAGGCAGGCCUAUGCUCGAAUACAUUAGCAUGGAAUAAUAGAAUAGGACGCGUGGUUCUAUUUUGUUGGUUUCUAGGACCGCCGUAAUGAUUAAUGGGGACAGUCGGGGGCAUCAGUAUUCAAUUGUCAGAGGUGAAAUUCUUGGAUCUAUUGAAGACUAACUACUGCGAAAGCAUUUGCCAAGGAUGUUUUCAUUGAUAAGGAACGAAAGUUAGGGGAUCGAAGACGAUCAGAUACCGUCGUAGUCUUAACUAUAAACUAUGCCGACUAGGGAUCGGACGAUGUUAUUUCUUGACGCGUUCGGCACCUUUCGAGAAAUCAAAGUGCUUGGGCUCCAGGGGGAGUAUGGUCGCAAGGCUGAAACUUAAAGAAAUUGACGGAAGGGCACCACCAGGGGUGGAACCUGCGGCUUAAUUUGACUCAACACGGGGAAACUCACCAGGUCCAGACACAAUGAGGAUUGACAGAUUGAGAGCUCUUUCUUGAUUUUGUGGGUGGUGGUGCAUGGCCGUUCUUAGUUGGUGGAGUGAUUUGUCUGCUUAAUUGCGAUAACGAACGAGACCUUAACCUGCUAAAUAGCCCGUACUGCUCUGGCAGUUCGCCGGCUUCUUAGAGGGACUAUCGG
Molecule: ribosomal RNA, 729 nt
Filed under: uncultured eukaryote
Lineage: Eukaryota
Description: SSU rRNA
Rfam family: Eukaryotic small subunit ribosomal RNA
Source: RNAcentral